Molecule: long non-coding RNA, 707 nt
Filed under: Brachypodium distachyon (stiff brome)
Lineage: Eukaryota; Viridiplantae; Streptophyta; Magnoliopsida; Poales; Poaceae
Description: long non-coding RNA (BDIS_LNC005628)
Source: RNAcentral
CGGUUCAGCCCAAAAUGGCCGGGCCGGUCCAUUUCCCCCUUUUUUUUCUUUUAGCCUUUUCUUUUUCCCCUUUUUCUCAUUUCUUUGAUAUCUUUUGAUUUUGAACUCCAAAUCGGUCCAAAUAAAAUCCAGAAAAUUUGGAAAAUCAUCUUUUGUCAUGAUUCAACUUUUGGGAGUAGUUUCCCCUCUAAAUAAAAUACACAAAAAUACAUUUUCCCUAUAAAUGCCUUUAGGGCUAUAUAACUAUUUAAAUAAAAUAGUUUUUCAACUCCAAAUAAUUAUCAAAAAAAUCAUGGGAUAGCUCAUAUAUGCAAUAAACCCCUUUUAUAGAUAAAUCUUAUUGGUUUGAAGAAUCAAAACUUAAAUGGGUGUAAACCCUAGGGUUUUAAAUUGAAACAAAGUCUUUUAAAGCCUUUUGAGAUUCAAAUUUGAAUUCAAAUAUGCAAUUGUGGCAUGAUGCUCAUGGUUGCAAUGCACAUGUAAAAGUUUGAAAUUUUGGGAUGUUACACACAAGCAUAUCAAUCAAAAAACAAUCCUUUAUUAAAAUUUCUUUCGAAGACUCAUUGUUGGCCCACGGCCUAAAUAAAAAGGAAAAUAAAAAAAUAAAAAAAUAAAAGAAAAGAAGAACCAACGGUCUACGUCGCCAUACAAUAAAAGUUCUGUAUGGUCAACGACUAACACGUACUCGUAUUUUAUUAUAUGGUAAG